RNAcentral lists this ribosomal RNA (275 nucleotides) under uncultured bacterium. RNAcentral's name for it is "partial 16S ribosomal RNA". It matches the Rfam family "Bacterial small subunit ribosomal RNA", at positions 338 to 604 of the family's 1533-position model. The record is from RNAcentral.
CCUACGGGUGGCUGCAGUAGGGAAUAUUGCGCAAUGGAGGAAACUCUGACGCAGCGACGCCGCGUGGGUGACGAAGGCCUUCGGGUCGUAAAACCCUGUCGGAAGGGAAGAAUUGCCAUCUGAAUAACAAGCAGAUGGAGUGACGGUACCUUUAAAGGAAGCACCGGCUAACUACGUGCCAGCAGCCGCGGUAAUACGUAGGGUGCAAGCGUUGUUCGGAAUUAUUGGGCGUAAAGCGCGUGUAGGUGGUUAUCUAAGUCGAUUGUAAAAGCCCU